GACGAACGCUGGCGGCGUGCUUAACACAUGCAAGUCGAACGGAAAGGCCCUGCUUGCAGGGUACUCGAGUGGCGAACGGGUGAGUAACACGUGGGUGAUCUGCCCUGCACUUCGGGAUAAGCCUGGGAAACUGGGUCUAAUACCGGAUAGGAGCCAUUUUUAGUGUGAUGGUUGGAAAGUUUUUUCGGUGUAGGAUGAGCUCGCGGCCUAUCAGCUUGUUGGUGGGGUAAUGGCCUACCAAGGCGGCGACGGGUAGCCGGCCUGAGAGGGUGGACGGCCACAUUGGGACUGAGAUACGGCCCAGACUCCUACGGGAGGCAGGAGUGGGGAAUAUUGCACAAUGGGCGCAAGCCUGAUGCAGCGACGCCGCGUGGGGGAUGACGGCCUUCGGGUUGUAAACUCCUUUCGCUAGGGACGAAGCUUUUUGUGACGGUACCUAGAUAAGAAGCCCCGGCUAACUACG
RNAcentral lists this ribosomal RNA (463 nucleotides) under uncultured bacterium. Its description in RNAcentral is "partial 16S ribosomal RNA". It matches the Rfam family "Bacterial small subunit ribosomal RNA", at positions 28 to 505 of the family's 1533-position model. The record is from RNAcentral.